This 2933-nucleotide ribosomal RNA is filed under the name Escherichia coli. RNAcentral describes it as "bacterial LSU rRNA". It matches the Rfam family "Bacterial large subunit ribosomal RNA". Lineage: Bacteria; Pseudomonadati; Pseudomonadota; Gammaproteobacteria; Enterobacterales; Enterobacteriaceae. The record is from RNAcentral.
GGGUUGUGAGGUUAAGCGACUAAGCGUACACGGUGGAUGCCCUGGCAGUCAGAGGCGAUGAAGGACGUGCUAAUCUGCGAUAAGCGUCGGUAAGGUGAUAUGAACCGUUAUAACCGGCGAUUUCCGAAUGGGGAAACCCAGUGUGUUUCGACACACUAUCAUUAACUGAAUCCAUAGGUUAAUGAGGCGAACCGGGGGAACUGAAACAUCUAAGUACCCCGAGGAAAAGAAAUCAACCGAGAUUCCCCCAGUAGCGGCGAGCGAACGGGGAGCAGCCCAGAGCCUGAAUCAGUGUGUGUGUUAGUGGAAGCGUCUGGAAAGGCGCGCGAUACAGGGUGACAGCCCCGUACACAAAAAUGCACAUGCUGUGAGCUCGAUGAGUAGGGCGGGACACGUGGUAUCCUGUCUGAAUAUGGGGGGACCAUCCUCCAAGGCUAAAUACUCCUGACUGACCGAUAGUGAACCAGUACCGUGAGGGAAAGGCGAAAAGAACCCCGGCGAGGGGAGUGAAAAAGAACCUGAAACCGUGUACGUACAAGCAGUGGGAGCACGCUUCGGCGUGUGACUGCGUACCUUUUGUAUAAUGGGUCAGCGACUUAUAUUCUGUAGCAAGGUUAACCGAAUAGGGGAGCCGAAGGGAAACCGAGUCUUAACUGGGCGUUAAGUUGCAGGGUAUAGACCCGAAACCCGGUGAUCUAGCCAUGGGCAGGUUGAAGGUUGGGUAACACUAACUGGAGGACCGAACCGACUAAUGUUGAAAAAUUAGCGGAUGACUUGUGGCUGGGGGUGAAAGGCCAAUCAAACCGGGAGAUAGCUGGUUCUCCCCGAAAGCUAUUUAGGUAGCGCCUCGUGAAUUCAUCUCCGGGGGUAGAGCACUGUUUCGGCAAGGGGGUCAUCCCGACUUACCAACCCGAUGCAAACUGCGAAUACCGGAGAAUGUUAUCACGGGAGACACACGGCGGGUGCUAACGUCCGUCGUGAAGAGGGAAACAACCCAGACCGCCAGCUAAGGUCCCAAAGUCAUGGUUAAGUGGGAAACGAUGUGGGAAGGCCCAGACAGCCAGGAUGUUGGCUUAGAAGCAGCCAUCAUUUAAAGAAAGCGUAAUAGCUCACUGGUCGAGUCGGCCUGCGCGGAAGAUGUAACGGGGCUAAACCAUGCACCGAAGCUGCGGCAGCGACGCUGAUGCGUUGUUGGGUAGGGGAGCGUUCUGUAAGCCUGCGAAGGUGUGCUGUGAGGCAUGCUGGAGGUAUCAGAAGUGCGAAUGCUGACAUAAGUAACGAUAAAGCGGGUGAAAAGCCCGCUCGCCGGAAGACCAAGGGUUCCUGUCCAACGUUAAUCGGGGCAGGGUGAGUCGACCCCUAAGGCGAGGCCGAAAGGCGUAGUCGAUGGGAAACAGGUUAAUAUUCCUGUACUUGGUGUUACUGCGAAGGGGGGACGGAGAAGGCUAUGUUGGCCGGGCGACGGUUGUCCCGGUUUAAGCGUGUAGGCUGGUUUUCCAGGCAAAUCCGGAAAAUCAAGGCUGAGGCGUGAUGACGAGGCACUACGGUGCUGAAGCAACAAAUGCCCUGCUUCCAGGAAAAGCCUCUAAGCAUCAGGUAACAUCAAAUCGUACCCCAAACCGACACAGGUGGUCAGGUAGAGAAUACCAAGGCGCUUGAGAGAACUCGGGUGAAGGAACUAGGCAAAAUGGUGCCGUAACUUCGGGAGAAGGCACGCUGAUAUGUAGGUGAAGUCCCUCGCGGAUGGAGCUGAAAUCAGUCGAAGAUACCAGCUGGCUGCAACUGUUUAUUAAAAACACAGCACUGUGCAAACACGAAAGUGGACGUAUACGGUGUGACGCCUGCCCGGUGCCGGAAGGUUAAUUGAUGGGGUUAGCCGCAAGGCGAAGCUCUUGAUCGAAGCCCCGGUAAACGGCGGCCGUAACUAUAACGGUCCUAAGGUAGCGAAAUUCCUUGUCGGGUAAGUUCCGACCUGCACGAAUGGCGUAAUGAUGGCCAGGCUGUCUCCACCCGAGACUCAGUGAAAUUGAACUCGCUGUGAAGAUGCAGUGUACCCGCGGCAAGACGGAAAGACCCCGUGAACCUUUACUAUAGCUUGACACUGAACAUUGAGCCUUGAUGUGUAGGAUAGGUGGGAGGCUUUGAAGUGUGGACGCCAGUCUGCAUGGAGCCGACCUUGAAAUACCACCCUUUAAUGUUUGAUGUUCUAACGUUGACCCGUGAUCCGGGUUGCGGACAGUGUCUGGUGGGUAGUUUGACUGGGGCGGUCUCCUCCUAAAGAGUAACGGAGGAGCACGAAGGUUGGCUAAUCCUGGUCGGACAUCAGGAGGUUAGUGCAAUGGCAUAAGCCAGCUUGACUGCGAGCGUGACGGCGCGAGCAGGUGCGAAAGCAGGUCAUAGUGAUCCGGUGGUUCUGAAUGGAAGGGCCAUCGCUCAACGGAUAAAAGGUACUCCGGGGAUAACAGGCUGAUACCGCCCAAGAGUUCAUAUCGACGGCGGUGUUUGGCACCUCGAUGUCGGCUCAUCACAUCCUGGGGCUGAAGUAGGUCCCAAGGGUAUGGCUGUUCGCCAUUUAAAGUGGUACGCGAGCUGGGUUUAGAACGUCGUGAGACAGUUCGGUCCCUAUCUGCCGUGGGCGCUGGAGAACUGAGGGGGGCUGCUCCUAGUACGAGAGGACCGGAGUGGACGCAUCACUGGUGUUCGGGUUGUCAUGCCAAUGGCACUGCCCGGUAGCUAAAUGCGGAAGAGAUAAGUGCUGAAAGCAUCUAAGCACGAAACUUGCCCCGAGAUGAGUUCUCCCUGACUCCUUGAGAGUCCUGAAGGAACGUUGAAGACGACGACGUUGAUAGGCCGGGUGUGUAAGCGCAGCGAUGCGUUGAGCUAACCGGUACUAAUGAACCGUGAGGCUUAACCUUACAACGCCGAAGGUGUUU